GCCAAAGGGGUUGCAGUGCCAAGACUGGGGCAGAGAGGAGACACGGCCAGGGACAGGACUGCGUGACCCAAGGCAGCAGUGAUCCACCCUAUACUCCUGACAGUCAUGGAGUCAUGCAAGAUGGAUACGCAGUGUGCUAGCACAUUCUGGCAGAGAUUCAUAUCAUACUGGGAACAAGUUGCCAAGAGAAGCUGUGGACUCUCCAUCCAAGACUUCGCUGGACAAGGUCCUGAGCAAUCCAGCACUCCCUUUGAAACUGGCCCUGCUUUGAGAAGGGGGCUGGACCAGAGGACCCUCCCCAC
This is a long non-coding RNA of Struthio camelus australis, 302 nucleotides long. RefSeq lists it as uncharacterized. Lineage: Eukaryota; Metazoa; Chordata; Aves; Struthioniformes; Struthionidae. The record is from RefSeq and is a predicted model, not a curated record.